GUUGCAAGACCUUCAUGAUGAAAGAAGAUAUGGAAAUGAUAAUAUCAUUAAAAGAAGUGUCAUCCAAUUGUAUUUUAUACUACAUCUGGCAUUUGCAUAGAAAGUUGAUUGAUGCAAAGCAGGCCGAACGAUAUGUUUUUGUCAAUCCGGCAUUGGUCUCAAAAGCUGGAAUGGGAGAGGGAAGCAAGGAAAACAGUUUUGCGGGAAGAAAUCAUAUAGUGAAAUGGAAAUUAAUGAAGUUCGAUCAGAUUGGGUUAUGUUAGUGACUCAGUUAAUCAUUACUCAUGUUUGAAGUGUUUUCAAUAUGGAUCAUUUUGGGGGUUGCUCUAUUAUGAUUGAUGUAUAGUUGGCAUAUUGAGAGGUGAAGCCAAGUAGACAUGGUUGUACAAAAAGGCAUAGGUCAUUCUAUUAACAACGUCACUACUGCUCUUGAUGAAGGACACCCACAAACAAUUCAAAAUAUAUCAU
This is a long non-coding RNA of Vitis riparia (riverbank grape), 468 nucleotides long. RefSeq lists it as uncharacterized. Lineage: Eukaryota; Viridiplantae; Streptophyta; Magnoliopsida; Vitales; Vitaceae. The transcript has 5 exons. The record is from RefSeq and is a predicted model, not a curated record.